This 274-nucleotide ribosomal RNA is filed under the name uncultured bacterium. Its description in RNAcentral is "partial 16S ribosomal RNA". It matches the Rfam family "Bacterial small subunit ribosomal RNA", at positions 523 to 796 of the family's 1533-position model. The record is from RNAcentral.
AUACGGAGGGUGCAAGCGUUGCUCGGAAUCACUGGGCGUAAAGGGCGCGCAGGCGGUUUGGUAAGUCAGAUGUGAAAGCCCAUGGCUCAACCAUGGAAGUGCAUUUGAAACUGUCAGACUUGAGUACUAGAGGGGAAAGUGGAAUUCCCGGUGUAGAGGUGAAAUUCGUAGAUAUCGGGAGGAAUACCGGUGGCGAAGGCGACUUUCUGGCUAGAUACUGACGCUGAGGCGCGAAAGCGUGGGGAGCAAACAGGAUUAGAUACCCCAGUAGUCC